GACGAACGCUGGCGGCGUGCUUAACACAUGCAAGUCGAGCGGUAAGGCCCUUUCGGGGGUACACGAGCGGCGAACGGGUGAGUAACACGUGGGUGACCUGCCCUCAGCUCUGGGAUAAGCCUGGGAAACCGGGUCUAAUACUGGAUAUGACUCCAUGACGCAUGUUGUGGGGUGGAAAGCCUUGUGCGGCUGAGGAUGGGCCCGCGGCCUAUCAGCUUGUUGGUGGGGUGAGGGCCUACCAAGGCGACGACGGGUAGCCGGCCUGAGAGGGCGACCGGCCACACUGGGACUGAGACACGGCCCAGACUCCUACGGGAGGCAGCAGUGGGGAAUCUUGCGCAAUGGGCGAAAGCCUGACGCAGCGACGCCGCGUGAGGGAUGACGGUCUUCGGGUUGUAAA
This 400-nucleotide ribosomal RNA is filed under the name uncultured bacterium. RNAcentral describes it as "bacterial SSU rRNA". It matches the Rfam family "Bacterial small subunit ribosomal RNA", at positions 28 to 429 of the family's 1533-position model. The record is from RNAcentral.